CCUACGGGAGGCAGCAGUGAGGAAUAUUGGUCAAUGGACGAGAGUCUGAACCAGCCAGGUAGCGUGAAGGAUGACUGCCCUAUGGGUUGUAAACUUCUUUUAUAUGGGAAUAAAACAGGGUAUGCAUACCAUCUUGUAUGUACCAUAUGAAUAAGGAUCGACUAACUCCGUGCCAGCAGCCGCGGUAAUACGGAGGAUCCGAGCGUUAUCCGGAUUUAUUGGGUUUAAAGGGAGCGUAGGUGGCUUUUUAAGUCAGUUGUGAAAGUUUGCGGCUCAACCGUAAAAUUGCAGUUGAAACUGGCAGUCUUGAGUACAGUAGAGGUGGGCGGAAUUCGUGGUGUAGCGGUGAAAUGCUUAGAUAUCACGAAGAACUCCGAUUGCGAAGGCAGCUCACUGGACUGCAACUGACACUGAUGCUCGAAAGCGUGGGGAUCAAACAGGAUUAGAUACCCUGGUAGUC
This 460-nucleotide ribosomal RNA is filed under the name uncultured bacterium. RNAcentral's name for it is "partial 16S ribosomal RNA". It matches the Rfam family "Bacterial small subunit ribosomal RNA", at positions 338 to 795 of the family's 1533-position model. The record is from RNAcentral.